This 396-nucleotide ribosomal RNA is filed under the name Geobacillus stearothermophilus. Its description in RNAcentral is "bacterial SSU rRNA". It matches the Rfam family "Bacterial small subunit ribosomal RNA", at positions 557 to 952 of the family's 1533-position model. Lineage: Bacteria; Bacillati; Bacillota; Bacilli; Caryophanales; Anoxybacillaceae. The record is from RNAcentral.
GGCGUAAGCGCGCGCAGGUGGUUUCUUAAGUCUGAUGUGAAAGCCCACCCCUCAACCGUGGAGGGUCAUUGGAAACUGGGAGACUUGAGUGCAUAAGAGGAAAGUGGAAUUCCAUGUGUAGCGGUGAAAUGCGUAGAGAUAUGGAGGAACACCAGUGGCGAAGGCGACUUUCUGGUCUGUAACUGACACUGAGGCGCGAAAGCGUGGGGAGCAAACAGGAUUAGAUACCCUGGUAGUCCACGCCGUAAACGAUGAGUGCUAAGUGUUAGAGGGUUUCCGCCCUUUAGUGCUGAAGUUAACGCAUUAAGCACUCCGCCUGGGGAGUACGGCCGCAAGGCUGAAACUCAGAGGAAUUGACGGGGGCCCGCACAAGCGGUGGAGCAUGUGGUUUAAUUC